CCUACGGGCGGCAGCAGUGGGGAAUAUUGGGCAAUGGAGGCAACUCUGACGCAGCAACGCCGCGUGAGUGAUGAAGGUCUUCGGAUUGUAAAGCUCUGUGAGGGGGGAAGAAAAUGACGACGGUACACCAAUAGCACGCCACGGCUAACUACGUACCAGCAGCCGCGGUAAUACGUAGGUAGGAAGCGUUAUCAGGAAUGACUGGGAGUAAAGGGGGCGUAGGUGGUUUAGGAAGUUUGCGGUGUAAUGCCGGGGCUCAACCCCGGGGCUACGCACAAAACGAUUUGACUUGAGUGCAGGGGGGGUAAGUGGAAUUCCUAGUGUAGCGGUGGAAUGCGUAGAUAUUAGGAGGAACACCAGGGGCGAAGGCGACUUACUGGACUGUAACUGACGUUGAGGCACGAAAGCGUGGGGAGCAAACAGGAUUAGAUACCCUUGUAGUC
Molecule: ribosomal RNA, 443 nt
Filed under: uncultured bacterium
Lineage: Bacteria
Description: partial 16S ribosomal RNA
Rfam family: Bacterial small subunit ribosomal RNA
Source: RNAcentral